This is a long non-coding RNA of Lycium barbarum (goji berry), 3176 nucleotides long. RefSeq lists it as uncharacterized. The record is from RefSeq and is a predicted model, not a curated record. NCBI's taxonomy places the organism in Eukaryota, Viridiplantae, Streptophyta, Magnoliopsida, Solanales, Solanaceae. The transcript has 3 exons.
CGGGUGGUACGACGAAGGGCAUACUGGUAAUUUUACUUCUUUGAAUUGUGCAAACCCGUAGUACAUACGAGUAGCUUCCUUUCAGUGCUUCUCAAUAGAGCCUUGUAGAGGUUCUAAACAUGGAAGGUCUUACACUCACUUUUCAAUUUUUCACUUCCUUUUCUCUCUCUUUUCUCAUUCAUUUUAAUGUUUGAUAUUGCUGAAUGUGUUCAUGAUCAAUUGUGUUGCCACUGGGAUUACAAGGUCGUGGCUCACUGAUCUUAUCCCAGCUGAUUCCACACUAUUCGCACCACUUAUGCUCAUCAGGUUCCAUUUUUUCAAUUAUUGAAUGAUAAUUGAGGAUUUUUGAGUUAUAGAUUGGAGUUACUUUUCGAUAUCUUUUGGGUCGCAAAAAGUUCUCCUCCAAAUUUGUAGGAGCUUUAACGGUGAAAAUGAUUUCAAGUGUGAUUUCUUUAUCAAGACGGAAGACGGAUUGUUGAAGGAGGAAGAUUGCGUACAGGCUCAGAACAAAAUAUAUUGAAAUGCAGAGUGAGACAGUGUAAAGUACUCAGAGUAGGUUAUUUUUCUCUGUUGUGGAAGUCAUUACCACGCUUGCCCAACCGCUAAACACACUGAUGUUGCAUGUGUAAAUCCCAGUUUGCUAUACUAUUUUUGUUAAUGUAUGUUUCUGAAUUGGUUUUAUAAAAGAAUCUUUAUUUUUCUAUUUCUUUAUUCUCUUCUGCAUGCCAAUGCUACUUGUUCACCUGUCACGAUCAACUGGCACUUUAUAUGUUUGGUCAAUUUUUGUAUAUAUCCACUUUAGCUUCGUUCUAUCACGCGCAGUUUUGUGGAAAGUAAAAACUGAUACAGAUUGAAUAGAUUUAUAUUCAUUAUCUUAGUUUUUCUAUAUAUUUAACCACUUAAUGGAAUAAAAAAAUUUCAGGUCCCAAGAAGAUAUGUCUUUGAACAUGAUAGACUACAUUGUGAUGAUCAUGGAAUGAUGUUGAUUCUGACUGUUUGAAGAAAGUAAAGGUUUGGAUUAAAAGAACACAUGUUAACUUAUGAUGCCUUUUUACAUCUGUUAAAUCAGAUUUUCGCUCUAAAUUUAUCUUUCUUUAAGCUAUAAUUUACUAUGGAUUUGGAAUUUCUUCUUCUUGAGCUGUGCGUCAUGCUUUCAAAAUUAUAUCAUGUAAGAUUGACAACUUUUCACACUGAUCAUUAUCAUGACCUUUUCGGUAUGCUGUGGAAUUUAAUUUUGAAUUCUGGGGGUAGUUUUGCUUUCAAGCUCCACCUUUGACUAUCCUUUGAAUGGUAUUGAAUCUCUCUUCUUUUAUACACGGGGAAUGAUAGUUGCUUUUGAGAAAGGUAAAUCACUGGUAAGUAUUUUUAAUGGGAUGAUUUCAGUGAAUAUGUUAAGAUAUUAAAUACUCCUUCCGUCCCAUUUUAAGUGUACUAGGCACGAAGUUUAAGAAAUAAAGAGAGACUUCUGAAAUAUCAUUUUAUCUUGUGAUUAUAAACUUGUCAUGUAGGAUGUUUGAAUUGUCAACCUACUAAAUAUAGAAAGAGGCACUCUUUUUGGAAAAUACCAAAAAGGAAAGUAAGUCCCUUAAAUUGGUACGGAGGGAGUACCUAAUAUUUGAAAACAUGUGCUGAAUAUUUUCUCUUUAUAAUGACUUGCUAUACAGAGCUUGAAAGAGAAGCAGUUCUUGUAUGACAUUGUUGCUAAUGGGCGAAGUGGAAUAGAUGUUGACAAAUUUGAUUACAGCGAGCGUGACACCAGAGCUUAUGGUCUUAGGGUCAUUCCUCUUCUGUGCUAAAAACAGAUGAGGGUUAGAUGCUUGUAAACAGUGUCGUCGGUCAUCAACUAAUAGUGUCACAGCCCAUUUAUUGCAUAAUGCAUGUGUAGUUGAGAUAUUGUGGGAAUGCCAAGUUUAGCGAAGAUUGAGGAACUAAAUAUCCUUAGACCAAGGAAAGUACCAUAUGCUUGAGAAUAGAGGUAAUUUAACUCAAUUAUCCUAUCCAUUUUGCUUGAUCAUUUCUUGUACAUGACACAGCGGGGUUACCGUCAGCCUGGUAAGCAAAUUCAAGAAGUAACUUCAAACAGGAAAAAGAAAGAAACCGCAAUAACUCGACCACCAGAAAUCACGACAGCAAGAUAGAAGCUGGGAAAGAAUCCUAGCUAGAAAGGGAGGUAGUAGCAUUACAAUGGUGGUUUGACAGAUUGGUCUACAUGUGCAUGGCCUGUCUUCGACGCAAAUUUUUGCUGCUCGGAUAGGACAAUAUUGUAUAUCAUCACUUAAGCUUUAUGAUGGGGAGGGUGCAAAAUCUUGCCUUGGCGAUUCAUGAAUCGACCCAAUGGAUGUGUGUCUAAAGAAUGGUCAGAUGGUUCUUGGUCUCAAUCUCUACCAAAAAAGAAGAAUGAAUGAAUGAAUGUUUUCGGAGGCUACUUUUCAGUGCUUAAUUUGAUCACCAAAGGCCUUUACAGUAAGCAAGAGAGUUAUGUAUCGGCAGACUCUUAGUUUUAUCUAUGUGAGGUUUUCAUAGUUGACACCUUUAUAAUAUUCUUUUUGAUUGCUGUAGUUGAGUUUUCACAUGAUUUCCUGUAUGUUUUUCUUAAGGGCUGCAAAAUAUGAAUCGUUUGAUUUACUUCUGUGAAAUUUGAGUCCACAAUGAGAAAAUGAGAAUGUGUGCAAGAAUAUAAUUUCAUCAGACUAAUUCUGCAAUUGGCUAGCUUAGGUGUUUUUGAGUGGUAUCAUUAGCUCAUCAAAGACUAAGGGAGGAUGGAAAUCAAAUUACCACAAGCUGAUUUCUAUAAGACUAAUGUUCUUGUAAGUGCUAUGUUUCUAAACUUGUUCUACUCUAAGCCAACAACUUUAGAAGUGUUUUAUACUAAAUGAACUUCAGUGUUGGGCAUGAGCACGGGCACGGGCCAUCUAGUUUAGUAAUAAAAUAAAGUCACUAGGCAUUGCUUAGUGGUUGCUUAAAAAAAAAAAUUAAACAAAAUUCUUUUGUUGCUUCAAAUUUUUCAUCAUUGAAGUAAUCGUUGGGGCUAACAAUUGUUACACCUCAUUUAAACAUCCUCUCUCCUUUUUAUAUUACUUGUCUACUUUUUCAUUUAUACGCUCUUUAAGAAUUCAUAUAUAAAAAUAUAUUUUUAUUAUAUUAUUUUUAUCUCUCUUUAAUUAAUUACACUCUAA